UCGAGAAUUUUCCACAAUGGACGAAAGUCUGAUGGAGCGACGCCGCGUGGUUGAUGAAGUACUUAGGUAUGUAAAAACCUUUUAUGAGGGAAAAAGUUUAUUGAUUGUACCUCAUGAAUAAGGGGUUGCUAAACUCGUGCCAGCAGCAGCGGUAAUACGAGUGCCCCGAGCGUUAUCCGGAAUUAUUGGGCGUAAAGGGUGCGUAGGUGGUAUUAUUAGUCUCAUGUUAAAACCUUCAGCUCAACUGAAGAAUCGCAUGGGAAACGGUAGUACUAGAGGAUGUGAGAGGUGUGUAGAACUCAUGGAGUAGGGGUAAAAUCCGUUGAUAUCAUGGGGAAUACCAAAAGCGAAGGCAGCACACUGGCACACUCCUGACACUGAAGCACGAAAGCGUGGGUAG
Molecule: ribosomal RNA, 400 nt
Filed under: uncultured bacterium
Lineage: Bacteria
Description: bacterial SSU rRNA
Rfam family: Bacterial small subunit ribosomal RNA
Source: RNAcentral